Non-coding RNA from Cordylochernes scorpioides, 74 nucleotides. The record is from the annotation of a GenBank genome assembly. Lineage: Eukaryota; Metazoa; Arthropoda; Arachnida; Pseudoscorpiones; Chernetidae.
UGCCCAAUGCGGGAAUCGAACCCGGGUCCUAGUGGUCGAAAACCAAACGGUUUACCCAGCCUUCCACUCACCCC